This 192-nucleotide ribosomal RNA is filed under the name uncultured bacterium. RNAcentral's name for it is "partial 16S ribosomal RNA". It matches the Rfam family "Bacterial small subunit ribosomal RNA", at positions 338 to 526 of the family's 1533-position model. The record is from RNAcentral.
CCUACGGGAGGCAGCAGUGAGGAAUAUUGGUCAAUGGAGGCAACUCUGAACCAGCCAUGCCGCGUGCAGGAUGACGAUCCUAUGGAUUGUAAACUGCUUUUGUACAGGAAGAAAUGCAAUUACGUGUAGUUGUUUGACGGUACUGUAAGAAUAAGGACCGGCUAACUCCGUGCCAGCAGCCGCGGUAAUAAU